GGGUGUGAUCAUACCAGCACUAAUGCACCGGAUCCGAUCAGAACUCCGCAGUUAAGCGUGCUUGGGCGAGAGUAGUGCUAGGAUGGGUGACCUCCUGGGAAAUCCUCGUGUUGCACCCCUUU
RNAcentral lists this ribosomal RNA (122 nucleotides) under Brassica oleracea (wild cabbage). The record is from RNAcentral. Lineage: Eukaryota; Viridiplantae; Streptophyta; Magnoliopsida; Brassicales; Brassicaceae.